GCCGGGGUCGCCUAGGCUGGUCUAUGGCGCUGGACUAUCAUUCCAGUUAUCGUGGGUUCAAAUCCCACCCCCGGCA
Molecule: transfer RNA, 76 nt
Filed under: Candidatus Bathyarchaeota archaeon
Lineage: Archaea; Thermoproteati; Candidatus Bathyarchaeota
Also listed under: 1 other name
Description: tRNA-Asp
Rfam family: tRNA
About the family: Transfer RNA (tRNA) molecules are approximately 80 nucleotides in length. Their secondary structure includes four short double-helical elements and three loops (D, anti-codon, and T loops).
Source: RNAcentral